GCAUUGGGAGUUCAGUGGUAGAAUCCUCACCUUCCAUAUGAGAAGCCUGGGUUCCAUUCCCAGCCAAUGCA
Molecule: transfer RNA, 71 nt
Filed under: Loxodonta africana (African savanna elephant)
Lineage: Eukaryota; Metazoa; Chordata; Mammalia; Proboscidea; Elephantidae
Rfam family: tRNA
About the family: Transfer RNA (tRNA) molecules are approximately 80 nucleotides in length.
Source: Rfam by way of RNAcentral